Monopterus albus (swamp eel) is the source of this 1388-nucleotide long non-coding RNA. RefSeq lists it as uncharacterized. The transcript has 3 exons. Lineage: Eukaryota; Metazoa; Chordata; Actinopteri; Synbranchiformes; Synbranchidae. The record is from RefSeq and is a predicted model, not a curated record.
AGUACUAAAAAAAAAGAGGAGGGAACCGUUUCCAGAAGGCUGGUGAUGUAACAAGAUGACAUCAAGCUCUGAAGUGUCCUUAAAUUCAGACCCACUACAGAAGCAGAGAGAGAGAGAGAUUACAGCUACUACUGAUGCUGGAAACAAAAUGUUCAUGAUUCAGUCUUAAUUACUGAUGUCUUUUGUAGGUAUACAGCUGAAAGAGGGAGAAAAAGGAAAUAAAGCAAGAUGACAGAGCUUUAGCUUUGGAUUUAAGACCGAUUGAAGUACAUUUGAUUAUAAGUUCCCAUUAGCUCAUUUCCUAACCUUCUGAUUGACUUUUCUAAAGGACUGUGAGGCUGGACUGUGAGAGAAGCAGCUCUGGAAAGACUCUUUUUUGGCUGUGUUUACCUCUGACCUCUUUGGUUCACUUUAUACACACACUUUCCCAUGUGAGCCAGUGAAUUAAGGCUGAUGAAAAUGCUGUCUGACCUGAAAGGCCCAGCCACAGAACUGGGUAUUUUUUAAAAACUGUGUAUCAAGCACAUUGCAACAUGUUGUAUUUUGAUAAUAGUACAUAUGGGGUUUGUGUAGGAGUAGGACAACCUUUCAUGACUGUUAGAUGGAAAUUAAUAAAAUAAUACUAUUGUCUUGAAAACAGAAAUAAGAGAUGAAAAAUAACUCAAUUAGACACUGUGGUUGUAUUAGACCUAAAUGCCUCUUUCAGUCUAUCACUUAACACAGAUCUGUUUCUUGUUCCUGCUGCAACAUGAUGGACAAUCUGACAGAUAUAAAGUUUGAUGUGCUAGCGAAGUGUAAACAAAGCAGAGAGCUUGCACCAACAGUCUUCAACCUGGAGAGACUCAUUGUUGGUUUUAGUCUGUGUAUGAGGUUUGUUGAAAAUACUAUUCAUAUAGAAAAUGACCUACCUUAUCCUUAAUUAAAACCUAAUUGUUACCCACACUACAGUUGUUUUUGAAAUGAGCAAAUUGCAUAUUGUUUUGCACAUCCCUCUCUCGUCCUGCCUCUAGUGUUAAUGUCACUGUUUGUCUUUUUCUGUUUCUCUUUGUAAGACUUCACGUUUUGAAUGUAGUUUGAUGACCUCCAUUCACAUUAUAGUCAGUGAUUCAUGAUGUAGUAAACGGUAUUCAAUUCCUGUUCACCUUCAGACCCCAUGCACUGUAUAAGUGUAUACUCUAGAUCUGACAGAGAUGUGUUUCUGAGUCGAUCUCAAGAUGGAUGACUCAUCAAUCACAGCCCAUUUACUGUAAAUAUAUUGAAAGAAAUUCCAUUGUCUUGUAACACAUCACACUAAAUCACGUGCAAGACUUUGUUGUUCUUCAUGUAAAUGAUAUUAAUAAAACUUCACAUCACGUGAUUCAUGUCCAUUAAAAAGCCUUUUGAGUUCU